Molecule: RNA transcript, 2346 nt
Organism: Asparagus officinalis (garden asparagus)
Lineage: Eukaryota; Viridiplantae; Streptophyta; Magnoliopsida; Asparagales; Asparagaceae
Gene name: CDT1-like protein a, chloroplastic
Exons: 9
Source: RefSeq, a predicted model, not a curated record
GUGAGAUAAAAAAAUUCAUGAGGAUUUCGUGCGAAACCCUCAAAGGUCAGGGAGGUUCGUGAAAUUCACCCUUCUCCUCUAUGCCUUUUCGAAUUAAACGCCAGUGUAUUUGAUAAACCCUAAUUUUAAACUGAGUUUUCGCUUUUCCAUCGCUCUCAAAUCUCAAUCUCACCUCUCCCCUUUCACUGAAGCAACGUCGGCAAUCAUCUGAGGGCACAAAGGCCACCUGCUUUUAUUAAAGUAUUUAUUAUGAAGCAAGAAGAAUCCACGAAGCAUGCUUCGCUUCAGUUCAGGUGCAGAAAGAUUGCUGCUCCUGUCAUGGAAAAGCCGAAUUCUUUGUGUCCGGCUGCUAUCCAAAACGUGAAAGUUGAAGGAGAUCAAGACUCAGGCAAGGGGAUUGAGUCUCCGACGCCAGAGAAACCCGAAUGCAAGAGAAAGAUUAAGGGUGCCAGUUCAAUUCUGAAAGGAAAGAAUCUUUUUGAUGAUUCCCAUGAGGAUGGUGUUGAAACCCAAUCAGAGGAAAGUGAUCCUGAAACCAAUAACAAAGCAGAUUCUUCUGAAAGGAGCAAUUUUGUGCUCAAUAGGUCACAAGAAGGCGAUAUAGUUGAACUCCCAGAAGAGUACAACAUCCUCUCUGUCCUUUUUGACCGGAUGAUUAGUUCUAUUAGAUUGCUUGCUUUGCGGAAAAGGUUGCCCAUUUUUCGUAACAUUAGUACUCAAGUGGAAAGAUUAUCAAAAAGGAAAUUAUUAUGCAGCCAUCUUGCACAGAUGAAAUAUGCGUUUCCUGAAGCCAUUCAAAUUGAGAAGAUACUCAUACAUGAUGAGGAAAGCCUAUGUGUCGUUCCAGACAUGAAGAUCACCCUAGUCCAGAGUGUCAUAGAAAGCACUCUCAAUGCUGACCAGUCUGCUUCAGUGGCUCUUUGCAAAGCUUUUCAUUCAAGGCUUGUAGAUAUUUUCAAAGCCAAUCCAGAGGGCAUUGCUAUCCCCCAGGCUAUGCUGCCAGAACCAUUCAGUCAAGGAAACCAAGGUAUACCCAGAAUGUUGCUGAAGGGAUCAUCUGAAGGACUUACUCAGAGGACUUCAUCUGAAGGACUUACUCAGAGGACUUAUUCUGAUCUAGAGUUCUUAUCAAGUGCUUCCCAUUUUUCCUCAUCUUUUCAUCAUCAAUUUUCUCAGAAAAUGAUCACAGAAACAGAAAAUAUAGAACCACCUGCUAUUACAGUCCCAUUACUCUCUAUUUCCAGUGUUGACGAGGAGAUAGAAGUUAGUAAAAACCCGCAAAUGGAAGCUAUUCAGUACCCUGUUCCUCCAGUUAAAUCUCCUAUAAAACCAAUAUGUACUCCAAGUCGAGUGACGCAUCUAAAUUCUGAGAGCACUCCUGCAAAAUGCUCAUCAAAUAUAGAUCUGUUUAUGACCGAAACACCAUCUCAGCAGACACCCAAAAGACCUGUACCCUCCACUGAUGAAAAGAUUGCUCCUGGGAAUGAGAAGUUGGUUACUGAACCCAAGGCGGGUAACUCAGUUAGGAGGUCAUUAAUCCUUUCUCCAUCAAAACCUGAUGGAAGUUUGUCAAAUGCUUCCUAUACGUCGGCACAAGAUGGGGUUCAUAAUGCUUGCAGAAAAACUACAAUAAGUAAAGGUAUUUCUGGAAAUGAGGUUAUGGGAACCAACCUGUUUCAAAUGGCGUCUGAAACUGCUACUGGCUCAUGUGAAGAUCAUAUUAUUAGCCAAGCAGGGCAAGAGAAGCGCUGGAGUUCACAAUCCUGUUUGCUCGGCAUGUUUGACACAAUUUGCUACAUAUUGAGAUCAACUGACUGUUCUCUCAUUACAAAACAGGAGCUUGUACACAAGAUUAUUCUAAAUAAUUUGGACAUAGAAGAGACAAGCGAAGUGGAAGAUCAGUUGCAGCUGUUGGAAGAGUUGGUUCCAGAUUGGAUUUCGAAGAAAGAUGUGUCAAAUGGGGAUUGCUUUUACUGCAUCAAGCAAGUAUAUGAUCGAGAAUCUGUCCGUGCAAAGCUUGUAGAAGCUUUAUAAAUUAUGGUCUAUGUACUGAUCUUGCUCUCAUUCAUCUGCUUAUCUAAUGUACUAAAGUGGCUCAGAGCAUCGGAGGGCCGCAGGAUGACAGAGUUAUUGCAUAGUCGCCGUCACAUGAGUUACUAGUAGAGACUCCACAGUAGAGUUAUUUUCAUUCGGACAUUAGAGUUUUGUAUCACAUUUUGUAAAGGCUAUGAGCCUUAGUUACAUUUUCAGCUGUUUCAUGUCGAGACAUAUUUAUUUAUUUCGGAUGUCGGAUGUAUUCCAGAUUGUUCAUUAAGACAUGAUUUAUUUAUGAGAUACUCCUUUCUA